This is a long non-coding RNA of Triticum dicoccoides, 808 nucleotides long. RefSeq lists it as uncharacterized. NCBI's taxonomy places the organism in Eukaryota, Viridiplantae, Streptophyta, Magnoliopsida, Poales, Poaceae. The transcript is spliced from 3 exons. The record is from RefSeq and is a predicted model, not a curated record.
CUCAGCCGCCGCAUCCCCCUCAAAAACCGUGCCACCAGCCAGAUCCAUCCACCUCCUCCCUGUUUUCCGGCGCCCUCCACCUCAUCCUCGCCAUGUGGCGCCGCCUGAGUGGUCGCGCCGCCACCCAGCGUCGCUCCCCUCCAACCGGAGCUGGCCACGUCGCCCCUGCCUCCCUCCUCCACCUCGCGUGGCCCGCAGAGCCCGUCCAAGGCCCGCUCAGGCCCGAAUCGCCGCCGUCCGGGCGCCCGCUUGCCUCCCGGCCCCGCAGCUCUGCUCGAUGGGAUCGAGAGAGAUCCCGAGCGCCGCCGCCUCUCGCCUCCCGCCGGCCACCCGGCAGCCUCGCCGGAGGCAGCAGGCCGCCAUGGACGCCGACCCCGUCGAGGUCUCGUCGCCCCGAGCUCGGCCUCGGGUCAGAUCCGGCCGGAAACGGGGCCCUGCCUCCUCCCGUGGUUGGAUCCGCCCGUCCCUGUCCUCUCCUCGCGCCCCGGCCUCCUCCUGGUGCUCGCCGCCGGCGCCGCCUCCGCUCGUCCUCGUCGGGCGGAGGACGACGCCCUCGCCUCCCCGUCGCGCCCCGUGUGGGCCUCCCCAGGCCCAGCCGCAUCGCGCCCAGCUUCGCAGCCGCGCAGGCCCAGCUCCGCCUCGCCCCUUCGUUGACCGCUCCAGCCUGGCUUCAGCCCAGCGGCCCCUGCCGGCCUUCCACUCCAGCACCUGAGCUGGCCUGCCCCGGCCUGCAUCUCCACCGACCGGCCUGCUAAGGCCCAGGGUUCCGGUAAUGUUGCGAUUGUGAGGAUUCGUUCGACUACUCCCG